Molecule: non-coding RNA, 46 nt
Organism: Dipodomys ordii (Ord's kangaroo rat)
Lineage: Eukaryota; Metazoa; Chordata; Mammalia; Rodentia; Heteromyidae
Source: Rfam
CCAAAGGCUCUUUUCAGAGCCAUUCCAUUUUCCUGAAAGAACUGCC